GCCCGGAUGGUCUAGUGGUAUGAUUCGCCCUUAGGGACCGAAAUGGACUCUGCGUUUAAAGAGCUGGGCGAGGUCCCCGGUUCAAUCCCGGGUUCGGGCC
Molecule: non-coding RNA, 100 nt
Organism: Ceratobasidium sp. 414
Lineage: Eukaryota; Fungi; Basidiomycota; Agaricomycetes; Cantharellales; Ceratobasidiaceae
Source: the annotation of a GenBank genome assembly